This is a long non-coding RNA of Magallana angulata, 677 nucleotides long. RefSeq lists it as uncharacterized. The record is from RefSeq and is a predicted model, not a curated record. NCBI's taxonomy places the organism in Eukaryota, Metazoa, Mollusca, Bivalvia, Ostreida, Ostreidae. The transcript has 4 exons.
AUUCAAAAUUCACCCCUACCCCCGAUGCAAGUUCGGAUCUGCAGAUGUAUGAAAUUAUUUCUUUGUUUUGUUAUUGAUGUUUCGCGGAAUUUUACAAUACAUGUAUAUCAUUACUGAACAUAGAGAGUCCCGAGAGAUUUCGGAUGGCGAAAGUACAGAGUUAUCUUUUCUUGGGCGAAGAGAUUGAAUGUCUGCAGCAGACAGCGGUUUUAAUGAGAUAAAAACGCUUUUUAUCGAGUUUAUUAGGAAUAUUUCAAUGUGAACGUGUUUUGUGACCACACUUGCAACAUUGUGUGGGAGGAUUUGCGUAACUUUUGUCAAAUUGUCAUGUGUGGGACCCCUAGACCAAGAACAUUUGAAAGUCGCAUCGAUUCAAAUAGACAGGCCUCGGUAUAAUCCAGUUUGCUUCUAUCCUUCAUCGAGGGCUGAUGGGGACCUGUAAAUGAUUCCAAAGCUGUCACGUGCCUGAUGCAAAAUGUGGUCUUCCAGCGAAAUCAGCUUAUCUCUUUACCAUUGAUUCCAGCACAGAGUUGAUGUCAUUAAGAACAACCCAGUGUCCAACUAGUGAGAUACACCAUGGUCCAGGUGGCAGACGAUAUCGCAUCCGUUUGAUGACGUAGUACACAAAAAGACCAAUGCUCAUUCCCGCCAAAAUGGUCUGGGUGUUCAUGGACAAC